UGGGGAAUAUUGCGCAAUGGAGGAAACUCUGACGCAGCAACGCCGCGUGUGUGAUGAAGGCCCUCGGGUCGUAAAGCACUGUCAUCAGGGAAGAAUAUUGACGGUACCUGAGAAGGAAGCACCGGCUAACUCCGUGCCAGCAGCCGCGGUAAUACGGAGGGUGCAAACGUUGUUCGGAAUCAUUGGGCGUAAAGCGCGCGUAGGCGGCUACGUAGGUCGGGUGUGAAAUCCCAGGGCUCAACCCUGGAACUGCGCUCGAAACCCCGUAGCUUGAGUCCCAGAGGGAGAAGUGGAAUUCCUGGUGUAGGGGUGAAAUCCGUAGAUAUCAGGAGGAACACCGGCGGCGAAGGCGACUUCUUGGCUGGUGACUGACGCUGAGGUGCGAAAGCGUGGGUAGCAAACAGG
RNAcentral lists this ribosomal RNA (405 nucleotides) under uncultured bacterium. RNAcentral's name for it is "bacterial SSU rRNA". It matches the Rfam family "Bacterial small subunit ribosomal RNA", at positions 355 to 776 of the family's 1533-position model. The record is from RNAcentral.